GAUUCCAGACAAAGUACGACAGCGAAUUAACGUAUAGCAAGAAACAGUAAGAAGCGUAUGAAAGAAUUAAAAAAAAAACCAAAAUCAAAAAGAGGUUUAACAAGUUUUGAGUUUAUCUACUUGAGGCAGGGAACCAAUUCGGGUUUUAGCCGUUUUGUGGGAGUUCAUUGAACGCCAAGAACUUUGAUCGGUCUUCAUAUCCUCGUUUUGCUUUCACGAUGGAACAACUGAGAAUGCGCAUUAUUUUUGUUGUUGAUCAAUUAAUAAGUGUUUUACUAACUUACAUUAACAUUACAAGCUUUUUCCGUUAUUUUUUACGUUUUUAGACAUUUCUAUUAGCAUUUCAACGACAGUACAUUUUCCCUCAGGGCGCGGCAACGAUCUAAUGUCACACAUUUAUAAAAAAUCUAGCAAUGCCAUGCUAUCACUUACUCAGUUGCUGAAGGUGGUAACAUCCGAUAAUAUGCACACAACCUUUCACAAGAGUGAUCACUAUAAAACUGGAAUGCUACGAGGAGAGCGAAGCAUUAUUGAAGCGGAGAGUUCUAUGUAUCUUUCUUGCACAGCUACUCACACAGCUACUAGUGUCCUAUCCUAAUUGUGUGUUUCCGGCCAACAACUACAGCAGGCGAGAGGCGAAUACAUAUGUGACGGGACUCUUGCCAACGGCUUUUAUCAUCAAGUCCCUUAUAUUGACGAAUCAAGAACUAAGAAAAGAGACGCCUUAUAUGAUGAUCACAUUAAAUAUUUUUUACCGAAAUAGAAGAUAAUGUAUCGAAUUAAUGCACAUUUUAUUUUUGAUGUUUCAUGCAUAUAAUAUGAAUUUAUAAUUUAAAUUUAUGUCUGCCCAAUUUCUAUGGGUAUACCAAAAACAUUUUUUUUUUGACAAUAUAAGGUAUAUAUAUUCUGGAUCAGGAUAAAUAGCCGAGUCGAUCUGACCCUGUCCGUAUUUAUUCAUAGACGCAUUACCUACUAUAUGGAGAGCGCGUAUAUUUUCCUAUUAAAGCAUGUUAUACUUAUACUUCAAUCCCAUGAAAGACUUUUACAUCCAAAUAUACAGAAAAUGGCAAAAUUA
Long non-coding RNA from Drosophila mauritiana, 1075 nucleotides. RefSeq lists it as uncharacterized. The transcript has 2 exons. The record is from RefSeq and is a predicted model, not a curated record. Lineage: Eukaryota; Metazoa; Arthropoda; Insecta; Diptera; Drosophilidae.